RNAcentral lists this transfer RNA (73 nucleotides) under Dermacentor silvarum. Its description in RNAcentral is "transfer RNA tyrosine (anticodon GUA)". It matches the Rfam family "tRNA". From Rfam's summary of the family: Transfer RNA (tRNA) molecules are approximately 80 nucleotides in length. Their secondary structure includes four short double-helical elements and three loops (D, anti-codon, and T loops). Lineage: Eukaryota; Metazoa; Arthropoda; Arachnida; Ixodida; Ixodidae. The record is from RNAcentral.
CCGUCGAUAGCUCAGUUGGUAGAGCGGUGGACUGUAGAUCCAUAGGUCGCUGGUUCAAGACUGGCUCGACGGA